RNAcentral lists this ribosomal RNA (379 nucleotides) under uncultured Lobomonas. Its description in RNAcentral is "SSU rRNA". It matches the Rfam family "Eukaryotic small subunit ribosomal RNA", at positions 585 to 972 of the family's 1831-position model. Lineage: Eukaryota; Viridiplantae; Chlorophyta; Chlorophyceae; Chlamydomonadales; Volvocaceae. The record is from RNAcentral.
CCAGCUCCAAUAGCGUAUAUUUAAGUUGUUGCAGUUAAAAAGCUCGUAGUUGGAUUUCGGGUGGGAUGGUGCGGUCCGCCUCUGGUGUGCACUGCUCCGUUCCACCUUCCUGCCGGGGACGGGCUCCUGGGCUUCACUGUUCGGGACUCGGAGUCGGCGAGGUUACUUUGAGUAAAUUAGAGUGUUCAAAGCAGGCUUACGCUCUGAAUAUAUUAGCAUGGAAUAACACGAUAGGACUCUGGCCUAUCUGUUGGUCUGUGGGACCGGAGUAAUGAUUAAGAGGGACAGUCGGGGGCAUUCGUAUUCCAUUGUCAGAGGUGAAAUUCUUGGAUUUAUGGAAGACGAACAUCUGCGAAAGCAUUUGCCAAGGAUGUUUUCA